GCCACGCCGGCCCCUCGCCGGCCCGCUUCCUUCCUUCCCCCUACCCCCACCCUUGGCCCUUUUUAAACUCGAUAGCCUUCUUCCAAAGCAGUGCCUAAACAAGUUUAACCAAAAAAAAAAACAACAAAGAAAGACUCCACUAAUAUAUUAAUAAACGCCAUCGCUCCGACAGUGUUUGUGUAUGCAGAGCUCCCACAGCGCCGCGCCGGGAGCGCCCGGCCCGUCCCAUUCCGUCCCGUCCCAUCCCCACACCGUGUCACCCAUCAGCCCAUCAAUGAUCCCAGCCAUCCCAGUGGUCCCAGCGAUCCCCCAGUCCCGGCCAUCCCACCCAACACAGUGACGCCACCCAUCCCACCAGCGCCGCCAUCACAGUGACCCCACUAAUGCCACCGGCGAGCCCGCCCAUCCCACCAGUCAUCCCAGUCAUCCCACCCAUCGUCCAAUGAUCCCAUCCAUCCCAGUGGCGCCAUCGAUCCCAGUGAUCCCACACGUCAUCCAAUGAUGCCGUCCAUCCCAGCGACCCCACCCAUCGUUCAGUGAUCCCACCCAUCCCAGUGAUCCCAGCGAUCCCACCCACCAUUCGGUGAUCCCAUCCAUCCCCGCGAUCCCACCCAUCCCACCAAUGAUCCCCUCCAUCCCAGUGAUCCCAUCCAUCAUUCAGUGGUCCCAUCCAUCCCAGUGAUCCAAUCCGUCAUCCAAUGAUCCCCUCCAUCCCAGUGAUCCCAUCCACCAUCCAAUGAUCCCAUCCAUCCCAGCGAUCCCACCUAUCAUUCCAUGAUCCCAUCCAUCCCAAUACCACCAUCUCACUGACCCCACUGAUGCCACCAGCGAGCCUGCCCAUCCCACCAGUCAUCCCAGUCAUCCCAGUCAUCCCACCCAUCGUCCAAUGAUCCCAUCCUUCCCACGGAUCCCAUCCAUCAUCCAGUGAUCCCAUCCAUCCCCCGAUCUCACCUAUCAUUCCAUGAUCCCAUCCAUCCCAAUACCACCAUCUCACUGACCCCACUGAUGCCACCAGCGAGCCCACCCAUCCCACCAGUCAUCCCAGUCAUCCCACCCAUCGUCCAAUGAUCCCA
RNAcentral lists this long non-coding RNA (1073 nucleotides) under Gallus gallus (chicken). RNAcentral's name for it is "lncRNA (ENSGALG00010009754.1)". The record is from RNAcentral. Lineage: Eukaryota; Metazoa; Chordata; Aves; Galliformes; Phasianidae.